UACAGAGGUCUCAAGCGUUGUUCGGAUUCAUUGGGCGUAAAGGGUGCGUAGGCGGCGCGGUAAGUCGGGUGUGAAAUCUUGGAGCUUAACUCCGAAACUGCAUUCGAUACUGCGGUGCUUGAGGACUGGAGAGGAGACUGGAAUUCAUGGUGUAGCAGUGAAAUGCGUAGAGAUCAUGAGGAAGACCAGUGGCGAAGGCGGGUCUCUGGACAGUUCCUGACACUGAGGCACGAAGGCCAGGGGAGCAAACGGG
Molecule: ribosomal RNA, 253 nt
Filed under: uncultured bacterium
Lineage: Bacteria
Description: partial 16S ribosomal RNA
Rfam family: Bacterial small subunit ribosomal RNA
Source: RNAcentral